GGGAUGUUGAGGUAGGCUCAGUAGAUGCGAGGAGAUCCACCAUUCCUCACAUCGUCUGUCCUAACUCGCCUUCCC
Caenorhabditis briggsae is the source of this 75-nucleotide microRNA precursor. It matches the Rfam family "mir-48 microRNA precursor family". The record is from Rfam. NCBI's taxonomy places the organism in Eukaryota, Metazoa, Nematoda, Chromadorea, Rhabditida, Rhabditidae.